RNAcentral lists this long non-coding RNA (1402 nucleotides) under Carica papaya (papaya). RNAcentral's name for it is "long non-coding RNA (CPAP_LNC008157)". The record is from RNAcentral. Lineage: Eukaryota; Viridiplantae; Streptophyta; Magnoliopsida; Brassicales; Caricaceae.
CAAACAUGCCCUUUGAAGCCACCAAAGGCCAUAUUUAAGCUUGCUUCAAGCAGCUCCAGUCUAAUCGUUUUGGCUAUUUGACUACUGGGUAUGUUUAUCUUCUUCUGUAGCCACUAGUAAUAUACAUACAUACAUAUAUAUAUAUAUAUAUAAGAGCUGUGUAUGUAUAUAUUUAUAUAAAAUUUGCAUGUAGCCGGCUUUUGAAACAAGUUACGCGGAGAAAAGAAGGAAGAAGAAGAAGAAGAAGAAAUAGAGCAUACCCAGAAGCCGUAACCAGUCAAUAUUUCAAGAGCUUGAUUUAGUAGCGUCUGCAAAAAUGGUGCUUCAGAGAUUGGAGAUAUGCAUAGAGAUGGUGAGACUGGCAAUAGAUUUCGUCAUCGUUGUGGCUGAAGCUGUGGGAAUUGUGAUUCAGCAGAACAAUCUGCCACAGCUAACCACCCAGCCUUACUCUAAUACUCCCGCCCCCUUUGUUGGCUUUCUUCCAUGAAAUUACCCUUGCAUAUAUACAUACACGUGUGUGUGUGUGUGUGUGUAAGUACGUGUCUCGCCGUCAGCUUGCUCUUUGUAUAUUCAUGGAGUUUGAGGUUGGUAAAAAAUCACAUUACUUUCCCAACUUUUGUCCUUUCCUUUUUUUUUUUUUUUUGGUGAAAUUCAUUUCCAUUCGGGUCUCUCUGUUUCUUGUUUCUUUUGCUUUUUCCAGUUUUGGUAGAUGGGAAUUUUGUUACUUACCGUGAAUGUAUGAUAGUUUUUGGAUGAGCUACAUAUACACACACACACACAUAUAUAUAUAUAUAUAUGGAUGAAUAAUAUGAAUCGAGUUUGAUCUUUUCGUGAAUUACCCAUUACAUCCGAUCAGAACCUCUAUUUCAAAUUAGGGUUCUUCCAUUAACCCGAUGUCUGGAUAAAACCUUUCAUUUCACAAUUCACAUUGAGUUGUAAGCUUAAUUAAUUAAAUUUUCAUGCUUUCUUUCUGGGUUUAUUCGAUUUUUGAGAACCCAGUUUCUGGUUUUUCUAAAUUCAAACUAGAAAAGUGAGAUUUGGAAGGAUGAUUCACGGGAAGCGAGGAGAUACAGAAGAAGAACAAUGAAGUAGCUAGCAGACAGAACUGUAGUACAAGCCAACCAAGGCAUAAGUUCAAUUAUUGGUCUGAGUCAUCCAUGAACAGAGAAAAAAGUUAAUAUUAAUUAGAAUUUCUCAAAUUAAAUGAAUUAUUAACUAAUUAAUUAAUUAAUUAAUUUUCUUAAUUCAAAAUUAUAGAUCUAUAAAAUUAAAACUAUUAUAUAUAUGAUUAUAGUACCAUUUGAUAGAAGCUAAUUAUAUAUAUGAUUUUGAAAAUUAUAUAUAUAUAUAUAUAUAUAUAUAUAUAGUUCAUGGUGGUUAAUCAUGAAUUUAUCAAUUUAAU